Molecule: ribosomal RNA, 491 nt
Filed under: uncultured bacterium
Lineage: Bacteria
Description: partial 16S ribosomal RNA
Rfam family: Bacterial small subunit ribosomal RNA
Source: RNAcentral
GUGAACGCUGGCGGUAGGCCUAACACAUGCAAGUCGAACGGCAGCACAGUAAGAGCUUGCUCUUACGGGUGGCGAGUGGCGGACGGGUGAGGAAUACAUCGGAAUCUACCUUUUCGUGGGGGAUAACGUAGGGAAACUUACGCUAAUACCGCAUACGACCUACGGGUGAAAGCAGGGGAUCUUCGGACCUUGCGCGAUUGAAUGAGCCGAUGUCGGAUUAGCUAGUUGGCGGGGUAAAGGCCCACCAAGGCGACGAUCCGUAGCUGGUCUGAGAGGAUGAUCAGCCACACUGGAACUGAGACACGGUCCAGACUCCUACGGGAGGCAGCAGUGGGGAAUAUUGGACAAUGGGCGCAAGCCUGAUCCAGCCAUACCGCGUGGGUGAAGAAGGCCUUCGGGUUGUAAAGCCCUUUUGUUGGGAAAGAAAAGCAGCAGGUUAAUACCCCGCUGUUCUGACGGUACCCAAAGAAUAAGCACCGGCUAACUUCGUG